This 161-nucleotide small nuclear RNA is filed under the name Helianthus annuus (common sunflower). Its description in RNAcentral is "U1 spliceosomal RNA". It matches the Rfam family "U1 spliceosomal RNA". Rfam says of the family: U1 is a small nuclear RNA (snRNA) component of the spliceosome (involved in pre-mRNA splicing). Its 5' end forms complementary base pairs with the 5' splice junction, thus defining the 5' donor site of an intron. Lineage: Eukaryota; Viridiplantae; Streptophyta; Magnoliopsida; Asterales; Asteraceae. The record is from RNAcentral.
UCAAUUACCUGGACAGGGUCAAUAAGCUAUCAAGAAGGUUCAUGGCUUAGGUUGGUGACCUCCAUUGCACUUUGGAGGGGUGCCUGCCUAAGAUCGGCCCAAGUGGUUGAACCUACGUCAUAAUUUGUGCCAGUGGAGGCCUGCGUUCGCGCGUCCUCUGC